Quercus robur (English oak) is the source of this 2632-nucleotide long non-coding RNA. RefSeq lists it as uncharacterized. The transcript is spliced from 2 exons. The record is from RefSeq and is a predicted model, not a curated record. NCBI's taxonomy places the organism in Eukaryota, Viridiplantae, Streptophyta, Magnoliopsida, Fagales, Fagaceae.
GAUGCUCAUAAGACCAAGUGAACUUAAAUAAAAAUUGGGCUUCAACUGAAAACACAAUUGGACCCAGGUAACCCAAAAAAAACCCAAUUUUCAGCCCAGCCCUCUCACCCAUUCUCAUUUCUCAGCCCUCGACUCUCUCUCCCUCAGCCCCUUUUCGUUUCUCUCUCUUCAAGAAUUUAGGGAUUAGGGUUUUCGAAUCUGAUGCCUGUGAUUUUCCUUCGCUUUCUUUCAUUUUCUCACCUGCCAAACACAUGUUAAUUACUAUUAUUAAGAGGGUCUGUGAAGGAGUUUUCAUUAAUUCCCACUCUGAGUCUAACCUAAAGUGAUUUUCUUUUACUUUCUCAGCUGCCAAACAAAUCUAAUUUUCUCUCUCACUCACUUUUUCAGACCGUGUUGUCUCUUGCCUUUGUUUCAAAUGUUCAACAAUGCUAACAAGAAAACUGCUAGUGUUAUAGGCCUUCAUAUCUGUCCUAAAAGAUUACAUCCAUAAUCUGGGAAGUGCAGGAUGUGACAAAUAUAGAGGCAAAUGUAUCAGCAAUAAUCGCAGCAAACUAGGGGGUUAAAAAAAGAAGCACACAGCAGUGGAUUAUCAGAUUUGCAGUUCUUUUUUCAUGUUAAAAAUCAGAAAGUCUUCGGAUAUGAAGAUCAUUGCUUCUUUAUAAAUGCAAGGCCUUUCAUUUUAGUAUAUUAUUGACUCUCCAAAAAUCCUUUAUAAAUGAAUUAAUUUAUGAUAUAUAUAUAUAUAUAUAUAUUUUUUUUUUUCUGUAACGCAACAAUUUAAGUUGAUUGAAGCUAAUUGCUAUCAUAGCAAGGGAAAGCUUGAUUUUGUGUGAAGUUAAUUGAUAUCCUCAAGGCAUUUUGACAAGAAAAUGCAGCAUGUGAAACAUAAGAGUUUGAAAUUCCUUUUUGUUCCCAGGGUGGUCUAUAAAUAUUUAUUUAAAAUUAUCAAAAAAGAAAAGCAAAGAUGACCUGUUUCAAAUUCUGUAUAAUAUUUGUUAAUUGGUCACCCAGCCUUUUGUAUCCCAUAACAAUUAACAAUAUAAUAUUGUUCCUCCUUUAACUAAACAUGCAUUGUUAUAUGGAAAUGAUAAUGAUCCUAUCCAUGUCUGUGUAUUGAUAUGAUGGACAUGAGUUCAUUUGUAUGAUCUUUGACAUGCUAGUUUUAACCUCAGCUCAAGUCUAAUCAUUUGAAUGGUUCAACAUGCUGAAUUUUUGUUGUUGUAACACUUCAUUGGUCAUGUCAGUUAGUAUAUUGUCCAUGUCAUUAUUGGUGUUGCAGUAACUAAGAGGUGGAAUUUUGAACAAUGGCAAUGGUAUAAAUACAUGUGAUUUCUAGUUAGAUGUGCUGCUGUUAAACAGGUGAUAGACGAAUCUGCAAAGUUUGACAUUCUUCUAAAGGUCAAGAGGGGAAGCAAAUAAGAGAAGUUUAAAGUGGAAGUUAAUGAAGGUAGCUUCCACUUGAAUCAGAUGGAACUUCACAGAGUCCUAAUUUCAUUGUUCAGUGGGUAUACCGAUGGUGUUAUCAGAGCGUGGGGCAUUGGUUGCUACCAGUAAAGCUUCAGAAAUUUGAUAUGCAUUUCUGUUUUGAGCUAUGUUGCAUGGACACUAACACGGGUAUGGAUACGAUACGGGUACGGGUACGGGGGUACAGUAAUUUUUGAAAAACAAGGGUACAACACGUCUAGGAUACGGCAAUUAAUUAAUUAAUAAAUAUAUUUAGGUAUAUUUUUAGACAAAAUAUGUUUAUUUUAGGAUUUAAAUUAAGUAAUAACAGCAAAUAAGUACAAUAACACUACAAAAAUGUUGUCUAAAAUACAAUUUUUGUUCCAUUACUAAAUUACUAAACCCAUAAGAUAGAUAAAACCAAAUAAUAAAUAAAUAAAUAAACAAACCUAUAAAAUAAGUAACUAUUAUAUUAAAAAAAAAAAAAAAAAAAAAAAAAAAAAACCCAAAGAAAGAGAGUCGAAAGACCAAAAGGUAGAGAACCCAAAAUUUGCAGGGAGAGAAAUGACGGAGGGAGAGAGAAGGAGGUUUGAGGUCGUCAGAGGCUGGAGGGGAUUGGUUAUUGACGAUCUACUCCAAGAAGGCACAAUGCAUAGUUUAGAUUAGAGAGAGAAACAGUAGAGGGAGAGAAAAGGAGCUUUGGGGUCGCUAGAGGGGGUUUGGUUGUCAUCGAGAAGGCACACCACACGGAUCAGAUUAGAGAGCUGAGGGAAAGAGAGAGAUCAGAUCAGAGAACUGAGGAAAAGAGAAAGGCAUUGGUCCAAAUCCUGUUCUCUCUCUCUCUCUCUCUCUCUCUCUCUCUCCUCUUUUAUUUUUUAAUUUUUCAAUUUAUUUUUUAAUUUUUUAAUUUUUAAUUUUUAUUUUUUUUAUUAUUAUUUUUUUUUUAGUUUUGCCGUGUCUAGGACAUUUUGGCAUGUUGCAAUUGUGUCAGCAAUGUACCCAGAUUUUUUUCAAAAAAAAAAAAAAAAAAAAAAGGAAGAAGAAGAAGAAGAAGAAGAAGAAGAGAGGAUAUGCCUUGGGUAUGGACUUUAGAUGUCAUACUAGUACUCGUGUCGAACAUGGGUACUUGGCCAAAAUCGUUGUGUCUUUGCAACAUAGGUUUUGAGAGCAAACAAGUUACUCUUGAUAA